RNAcentral lists this ribosomal RNA (560 nucleotides) under Photobacterium leiognathi subsp. mandapamensis. RNAcentral describes it as "bacterial LSU rRNA". It matches the Rfam family "Bacterial large subunit ribosomal RNA", at positions 2389 to 2925 of the family's 2925-position model. Lineage: Bacteria; Pseudomonadati; Pseudomonadota; Gammaproteobacteria; Vibrionales; Vibrionaceae. The record is from RNAcentral.
UCGAGCAGGUGCGAAAGCAGGUCAUAGUGAUCCGGUGGUUCUGAAUGGAAGGGCCAUCGCUCAACGGAUAAAAGGUACUCCGGGGAUAACAGGCUGAUACCGCCCAAGAGUUCAUAUCGACGGCGGUGUUUGGCACCUCGAUGUCGGCUCAUCACAUCCUGGGGCUGAAGUCGGUCCCAAGGGUAUGGCUGUUCGCCAUUUAAAGUGGUACGCGAGCUGGGUUUAGAACGUCGUGAGACAGUUCGGUCCCUAUCUGCCGUGGGCGUUGGAUGAUUGAGAGGGGCUGCUCCUAGUACGAGAGGACCGGAGUGGACGAACCGCUGGUGUUCGGGUUGUGUCGCCAGACGCAUUGCCCGGUAGCUAAGUUCGGAAUCGAUAACCGCUGAAAGCAUCUAAGCGGGAAGCGAGCCUCAAGAUGAGUCAUCCCUAGACCUUUAAGGUCUCUAAAGGGUUGUUGAAGACUACAACGUUGAUAGGUCGGGUGUGUAAGUGCUGUGAGGCAUUGAGCUAACCGAUACUAAUUGCCCGUGAGGCUUAACCAUACAACACCCAAGGGGUUU